ACAAAGUUCGGACCGUUGGUCUACCGAGCAAUAUUACCCGCCCAGUGGAAGAUCUUCCUUUUGUCGU
RNAcentral lists this microRNA precursor (67 nucleotides) under Bombyx mori (domestic silkworm). RNAcentral's name for it is "mir-2774 microRNA precursor family". It matches the Rfam family "mir-2774 microRNA precursor family". The record is from Rfam by way of RNAcentral. Lineage: Eukaryota; Metazoa; Arthropoda; Insecta; Lepidoptera; Bombycidae.